Molecule: ribosomal RNA, 250 nt
Filed under: uncultured bacterium
Lineage: Bacteria
Description: partial 16S ribosomal RNA
Rfam family: Bacterial small subunit ribosomal RNA
Source: RNAcentral
UACAGAGGGGGCGAGCGUUAUUCGGAAUUAUUGGGCGUAAAGGGCGCGUAGGCGGCUUGACAAGUCCAAGGUGAAAUCCCUCGGCUCAACCGAGGAACUGCCUUGGAAACUGUCUGGCUCGAGGCCGGGAGAGGGUAGUGGAAUUCCCAGUGUAGCGGUGAAAUGCGUAGAUAUUGGGAGGAACACCGGUGGCGAAGGCGGCUACCUGGACCGGAUCUGACGCUGAUGCGCGAAAGCGUGGGGAGCAAAC